GACGAACGCUGGCGGCGUGCUUAACACAUGCAAGUCGAGCGGUAAGGCCCUUUCGGGGGUACACGAGCGGCGAACGGGUGAGUAACACGUGGGUGACCUGCCUUUAGCUCUGGGAUAAGCCUGGGAAACCGGGUCUAAUACCGGAUAUGACUCCGCGGCGCAUGUUGUGGGGUGGAAAGCCUUGUGCGGCUGGAGAUGGGCCCGCGGCCUAUCAGCUUGUUGGUGGGGUGAUGGCCUACCAAGGCGACGACGGGUAGCCGGCCUGAGAGGGCGACCGGCCACACUGGGACUGAGACACGGCCCAGACUCCUACGGGAGGCAGCAGUGGGGAAUCUUGCGCAAUGGGCGAAAGCCUGAUGCAGCGACGCCGCGUGAGGGAUGACGGCCUCGGUUGUAAC
This 398-nucleotide ribosomal RNA is filed under the name uncultured bacterium. Its description in RNAcentral is "bacterial SSU rRNA". It matches the Rfam family "Bacterial small subunit ribosomal RNA", at positions 28 to 429 of the family's 1533-position model. The record is from RNAcentral.